Molecule: long non-coding RNA, 1032 nt
Filed under: Felis catus (domestic cat)
Lineage: Eukaryota; Metazoa; Chordata; Mammalia; Carnivora; Felidae
Description: lncRNA (ENSFCAG00000050315.1)
Source: RNAcentral
AUGCUAGGAAGGGUUCUCCACACCUUGCACCUGUUACCUUAUUUAAUCUUUAGAACAACCUUAGGGGGCAGGUUUUAUUACCAUCUCUGCUUUAAGGAUGAGGAAACCGGGGCAGACAGCGAGAACCUCACGUGUUUCAGGACACAGCCGGCAAGCACCGAGUCCGGAUCCAAACCCCGGCUGCCUGGCUCCACGGUUCACACUUUCAACCACUCCACCAGGGUCAAGUCUGUCUGGUGCACUCGCUCUAGCCUCACAACCUAUCAGGUGCCUAGCCGCCGCGGGUGGAAGGAAGGAAUGAAUGAAAUAAUCCUGUACAGGGGCAGUGUGGACCUCCCACUCUGCCAACACCUCCUGGUCCGGCAAGCCCGUGCCCUCCUGCCCCCGACGCGCCGACGCGAGCUGCCCCGACACCGCGCCACGCCGCGGCCGCAGAACGACCACCCGCCACGGCGCGCGAGGUCAAGGGACGGUGACAGCCGGGCGGCGGGGGCGGAGAUGCUACCAGCCGGGGUGUCACCCAAGCCGGGAGGCGAUUCGCGCUCCCUCGCGGGAACUGCCGGUCCGCUCGCCCCCUCAGCGCUCGCUCGCCUGGCGGCUGCCCCGCACCCCCUUGCCCCGCGGGGUCACCCCCCCAAUCCCGGUUCCCUUCCCAUUCCACUUCCCUCCCCUCCCCCACACAACCGUCCCCGGCGUCCCGCUGCGCCCCAUCCUUCACCGCCUCCGCCCGGCUCCCGGGACUCCCCGGGCCCCGGGCGUCUGCUGGCCCUCACCUGCCAUGUCCCGGACCCCACCGUAGAGGGAGGUGCAUCACGGCCGCGAGAAGGCCGGGGACGGCACUUCAGAGCAGACAAAGGGCGCCGCCAUGUCAGAGUCGGGCGGAACCGACCUCGCCGGCUUCCCGGCUGCAACUUCCGGCGCAUGCGCAGCACCCGCGCCGGCCGAGGACCGCGGACAGGCGCAUGCGCCUACCUGCCCAGAAGUUCUGUAUUAUACACAGUACUUCGGCACUUAGAAUUGUCCUCAUUGUAA